CCUACGGGAGGCAGCAGUGAGGAAUAUUGGUCAAUGGGCGUAAGCCUGAACCAGCCAAGUCGCGUGAGGGAUGAAGGUUCUAUGGAUCGUAAACCUCUUUUAUAAGGGAAUAAAGUGUGGGACGUGUCCUGUUUUGUAUGUACCUUAUGAAUAAGGAUCGGCUAACUCCGUGCCAGCAGCCGCGGUAAUACGGAGGAUCCGAGCGUUAUCCGGAUUUAUUUGGUUUAAAGGGUGCGUAGGCGGCCUGUCAAGUCAGCGGGGAAAGUCUGUGGCUCAACCAUAGAAUGGCCGUUGAAACUGGUAGGCUUGAGUAUGUUUGAGGCAGGCGGAAUGCGUGGUGUAGCGGUGAAAGGCUUAGAUAUCACGCAGAACCCCGAUUGCGAAGGCAGCCUGCCAAGCCAUGACUGACGCUGAUGCACGAAAGCGUGGGGAUCGAACAGGAUUAGAUACCCCAGUAGUC
This 460-nucleotide ribosomal RNA is filed under the name uncultured bacterium. Its description in RNAcentral is "partial 16S ribosomal RNA". It matches the Rfam family "Bacterial small subunit ribosomal RNA", at positions 338 to 795 of the family's 1533-position model. The record is from RNAcentral.